CCAAGAAGUACUCCUUAAUAUUUUCAUACUGAUCUAUCCUUGAAACGUGACUCAGUUACCUUGUGCGCAUAACUCUAGCAAGAAGAAUCUGAUUGUUUUUGCAUGUUGUCCUAAAUCGAUCAGCACACUCAUUCCUCCUCCUCCUUGCACAUCAUUGAGAGAACCAAACCGAAUCCUACAACCUCCACUCAGAUUUUUUGCAUGCAAGAGGAGACAGCCACCCCCUUCCUUCUCUAGCCGUGGACCACCAAGAGGAAGAAGUAAAAGUCUCCAUGUUCCUUCUUCCUUUUGCUUCCCCAAAGACCGUGAGUUGUACUAGAGAAAGAACCACCAUACAGCUCCCAUCUCCAUUCCUUCUCGGUUCGGCCAAGGGUAUCAUCUAGGGGGCGAAGUAUUUUCUUGUUGAUUCCUUGCUCAUUUUUCUCUCACCGGUCUAGGGAAAACUUUCCACUGCAUGCAGAUAAAAUAAAAACACAAACCAUUCUCUUAUUUUUCCUUUGGUUCAGCCGCUGGUCAUUAUCCAAGGAGCUUAAGCUCGAUCUACCAGAACAUUGAAAGAGUGGAUUGUGUAGUUUUCUGAUUUGUGAGUGUGUCAAUACAAGGAAGUAAAGGCCGAACUCAAGCUUUAUUUUUCCCCAUUGUUACGGGUUACAGGUGCGCAAAACACUUGAGACUUUGGAUUAUUCCGCUGCUGCCUGGUAAUUUAUUUGUGACGCGCGAGGUGUGCAACCCCCUUGAAACUUUGGAUUAUACACCGCUGUCUGGUAAAAAAUUUGGAACGUAUGAGGAGGGCGGAAGAGCAUAUGAAGUCAUGAUUAUAUGGAUAUCUGUUGUUAUGUGCUGCUGUUGGGAUUUUUGUUGUUGCUGUUUAUUUGAUGGAUAACUGUAUUAAUUUGAGAAGUUUGGAUUACUGUCGGAUUAUGAUUUUACUACUGUUUUAAGACUUUUAUGAUCAGCAAAAAAUUUGGAACCAAAUUCUAGAAACGUUUUGUGAAAAUAAUGUUUGA
This is a long non-coding RNA of Gastrolobium bilobum, 1007 nucleotides long. RefSeq lists it as uncharacterized. The record is from RefSeq and is a predicted model, not a curated record. NCBI's taxonomy places the organism in Eukaryota, Viridiplantae, Streptophyta, Magnoliopsida, Fabales, Fabaceae. The transcript is spliced from 5 exons.